CGUGGUAGGCUGCCUGACAGCUGGGUUACUGAGGGGCUGAGAGGUUACCAUUCAUGGUAGGCUGCCUGACAGCUGGGUUACUGAGGGGCUGAGAGGUUACCAUCAUGGUAGGCUGCCUGACAGCCGGGUUACUGAGGGGCUGAGAGGUUACCAUCGUGGUAGGCUGCCUGACAGCCGGGUUACUGAGGGGCUGAGAGGUUACCAUCAUGGUAGGCUGCCUAACAGCCAGGUUACUGAGGGGCUGAGAGGUUACCAUCGUGGUAGGCUGCCUGACAGCCGGGUUACUGAGGGGCUGAGAGGUUACCAUCGUGGUAGGCUGCCUGACAGCCGGGUUACUGAGGGGCUGAGAGGUUACCAUUGUGGUAGGCUGCCUGACAGCUGGGUUACUGAGGGGCUGAGAGGUUACCAUCGUGGUAGGCUGCCUGACAGCCAGGUUACUGAGGGGCUGAGAUGUUACCAUUGUGGUAGGCUGCCUAACAGACACCCCGUAGAUUUGCUCCAGCAAUGUGUUCAGCGCUCGGUCAUGGCGCUCGGCCAAGAUCAG
Long non-coding RNA from Oncorhynchus tshawytscha (Chinook salmon), 544 nucleotides. Lineage: Eukaryota; Metazoa; Chordata; Actinopteri; Salmoniformes; Salmonidae. The record is from Ensembl.